RNAcentral lists this small RNA (288 nucleotides) under Aureimonas pseudogalii. RNAcentral's name for it is "5' ureB small RNA". It matches the Rfam family "5' ureB small RNA". Lineage: Bacteria; Pseudomonadati; Pseudomonadota; Alphaproteobacteria; Hyphomicrobiales; Aurantimonadaceae. The record is from Rfam by way of RNAcentral.
CCUCGUCGAUCUGCUGCGGGCAGAUGAAAUGGAUGUGACUGUCCACCCCGCCGGCGGUGAGGAUCUUGCCCUCGCCGGCGAUCGCCUCGGUGCCGGGGCCGACCACGAUGGUGACGCCCGGCUGCGUGUCGGGGUUGCCGGCCUUGCCGAUGGCGUGGAUGCGCCCGCCGCGUAGGCCGACGUCGGCCUUGUAGAUGCCGGUAUGGUCGAGGAUCAGCGCAUUGGUGAUGACGGUGUCGACCGCCCCUUGUGCCCGGCUCUGCUGCGACUGGCCCAUGCCGUCGCGGA